Molecule: ribosomal RNA, 308 nt
Filed under: uncultured bacterium
Lineage: Bacteria
Description: bacterial SSU rRNA
Rfam family: Bacterial small subunit ribosomal RNA
Source: RNAcentral
GACGAACGCUGGCGGCGCGCCUAACACAUGCAAGUCGAACGAGCGAGAGAGAGCUUGCUUUCUCGAGCGAGUGGCGAACGGGUGAGUAACGCGUGAGGAACCUGCCUCAAAGGGGGGACGAACAGUUGGAACGACUGCUAAUACCGCAUAAGCCCACGACCGGCAUCGGGUUGAGGGAAAGGAGCAAUCCGCUUUGAGAUGGCCUCGCGUCCGAUUAGCUAGUUGGUGGGGUAACGGCCCACCAAGGCAACGAUCGGUAGCCGGACUGAGAGGUUGAACGGCCACAUUGGGACUGAGACACGGCCCAG